RNAcentral lists this ribosomal RNA (377 nucleotides) under uncultured bacterium. RNAcentral's name for it is "bacterial SSU rRNA". It matches the Rfam family "Bacterial small subunit ribosomal RNA", at positions 523 to 898 of the family's 1533-position model. The record is from RNAcentral.
AUACGUAGGUGGCGAGCGUUGUCCGGAAUUACUGGGCGUAAAGGGCGUGUAGGCGGGGGGACAAGUCAGAUGUGAAAUACUGCAGCUUAACUGCGGGGCUGCAUCUGAAACUGUUCUUCUUGAGUGUCGGAGAGGAAAGUGGAAUUCCCAGUGUAGCGGUGAAAUGCGUAGAGAUUGGGAGGAACACCAGUGGCGAAGGCGGCUUUCUGGACGACAACUGACGCUGAGGCGCGAAAGCGUGGGGAGCAAACAGGAUUAGAUACCCUGGUAGUCCACGCUGUAAACGAUGGAUACUAGGUGUAGGAGGUAUCGACCCCUUCUGUGCCGGAGUUAACACAAUAAGUAUCCCGCCUGGGGAGUACGGCCGCAAGGUUGAA